Molecule: ribosomal RNA, 489 nt
Filed under: uncultured bacterium
Lineage: Bacteria
Description: partial 16S ribosomal RNA
Rfam family: Bacterial small subunit ribosomal RNA
Source: RNAcentral
AUUGAACGCUGGCGGCAUGCCUUACACAUGCAAGUCGAACGGCAGCAUGAUCUAGCUUGCUAGAUUGAUGGCGAGUGGCGAACGGGUGAGUAAUACAUCGGAACGUGCCCUGUAGUGGGGGAUAACUAGUCGAAAGAUUAGCUAAUACCGCAUACGACCUGAGGGUGAAAGUGGGGGACCGCAAGGCCUCAUGCUCUAGGAGCGGCCGAUGUCUGAUUAGCUAGUUGGUGGGGUAAAGGCUCACCAAGGCGACGAUCAGUAGCUGGGCUGAGAGGACGAACAGCCACACGGGGACUGAGACAGGGCCCAGACCCCUACGGGAGGCAGGAGGGGGGAAUUUUGGAAAAUGGGCGAAAGCCUGAUCAAGCAAGGCCGGGUGGGUGAAGAAGGCCUUCGGGUUGUAAAGCACUUUUGUCGGGAAAGAAAGGGAGCUGGUUAAAACCGGGGGGGGAUGACGGUACCGAAAGAAUAAGGACCGGCUAACUACGU